UCUGCUCGAUCACAUCAGCGACUUCUUGCUUGAUCCGGUUGAUAUCAGUGUGGUUCAGUGAGGAAUUGUGUACGGUGGGGAGUUCAUGGUUUUGGUAGCAAACCAUACAACAAUUCCUUAUUCCAGCAGCAGUAGACACACCGGUGAUUUCCAGCCGUGGUUUACACUCUGAUCACGAGGCAUCAGUGAUUAUCAUCAGAUUUGGACUUUGAUUUGAGACUGUGUCUCGGCGAGGGAUCU
Long non-coding RNA from Zingiber officinale, 240 nucleotides. RefSeq lists it as uncharacterized. The record is from RefSeq and is a predicted model, not a curated record. NCBI's taxonomy places the organism in Eukaryota, Viridiplantae, Streptophyta, Magnoliopsida, Zingiberales, Zingiberaceae. The transcript is spliced from 3 exons.